AUUUUUGAGAGUUUGAUCCUGGCUCAGAACGAACGCUGGCGGCGCGCCUAACACAUGCAAGUCGAACGAGAGACUCUUCGGAGUAGUAAAGUGGCGAACGGGUGAGUAAUACAUGGGUAAUCUGCCUUUGAGCGGGGGAUAACCAGCCGAAAGGCUGGCUAAUACCCCAUACGCUUCCGGUCCCUUGGGUAAGGAAGGAAAGCUGCAUCGUGGAUGUGGCACUCGAAGAUGGGCUCAUGGCCUAUCAGCUUGUUGGUGGGGUAACGGCCUACCAAGGCAACGACGGGUAGCUGGUCUGAGAGGACGAUCAGCCACACUGGCACUGAGAUACGGGCCAGACUCCUACGGGAGGCAGCAGUGAGGAAUAUUGCGCAAUGGGCGAAAGCCUGACGCAGCGACGCCGCGUGGGGGAAGAAGGUUUUCGGAUUGUAAACCCCUUUUAGGAGGAAAGAUGGGGUGGGUUUCCACCCGGACGGUACCUCCAGAAAAAGCCACGGCUAACUUCGUGCCAGCAGCCGCGGUAAUACGAAGGUGGCGAGCGUUGUUCGGAUUUACUGGGCGUAAAGAGCACGUAGGCGGUUUAGUAAGCCCCUUGGGAAAGCUAUGGGCUUAACCCAUAAAGGUCGAGGGGGACUGCUAAGCUAGAGGGCGGGAGAGGAGCGCGGAAUUUCCGGUGUAGCGGUGAAAUGCGUAGAUAUCGGGAAGAAGGCCGGUGGCGAAGGCGGCGCUCUGGAACGUCUCUGACGCUGAGGUGCGAAAGCGUGGGGAGCAAACAGGAUUAGAUACCCUGGUAGUCCACGCCGUAAACGAUGUCAACUAGCCGUUG
RNAcentral lists this ribosomal RNA (826 nucleotides) under Nitrospira sp. Its description in RNAcentral is "bacterial SSU rRNA". It matches the Rfam family "Bacterial small subunit ribosomal RNA", at positions 1 to 825 of the family's 1533-position model. Lineage: Bacteria; Pseudomonadati; Nitrospirota; Nitrospiria; Nitrospirales; Nitrospiraceae. The record is from RNAcentral.